Molecule: ribosomal RNA, 519 nt
Filed under: uncultured Glomus
Lineage: Eukaryota; Fungi; Glomeromycota; Glomeromycetes; Glomerales; Glomeraceae
Description: SSU rRNA
Rfam family: Eukaryotic small subunit ribosomal RNA
Source: RNAcentral
CAGCCGCGGUAAUUCAGCUCCAAUAGCGUAUAUUAAAGUUGUUGCAGUUAAAAAGCUCGUAGUUGAAUUUCGGGGUAAGUAGGUUGGUCAUGCCACUGGUAUGUACUGGUCUCACUGAUUCCUCCUUCCUGAUGAGCCGUAAUGCCAUUAAUUUGGUGUUGCGAGGAAUCUGGACUGUUACUUUGAAAAAAUUAGAGUGUUUAAAGCAGGCUAACGCUUGAAUACAUUAGCAUGGAAUAAUGAAAUAGGACGUUCGAUCUUAUUUUGUUGGUUUCUAAGAUUGACGUAAUGAUUAAUAGGGAUAGUUGGGGGCAUUAGUAUUCAAUUGUCAGAGGUGAAAUUCUUGGAUUUAUUGAAGACUAACUACUGCGAAAGCAUUUGCCAAGGAUGUUUUCAUUAAUCAAGAACGANAGUUAGGGGAUCGAAGACGAUCAGAUACCGUCGUAGUCUUAACCAUAAACUAUGCCGACUAGGGAUCGGAUGAUGUUAAUUUUUUAAUGACUCAUUCGGCGCCUUACG